GAAGAGAGGUUACACAGGCGGAGGCUGUUCAAACAGUUGCUCUACAUGACGACAACGACAACAGUCACAAGAAAGAGUUGAACUUGGACGGCAGUCAGAUGACUAGCAACAGCAGCUUUAAAAUGCAACCCAGGCUCAACUAGUCUAUCACCUUAACAAAACGGAAAUCAAUGUAUAUGUAGUCAGGCCUGCCAAUCAGUUCCAGGACUGAUUCUGUGGAACUGGUAAACUUGUUUUAAAAUUAAGACUAACAGAAUUACAAACAGAAAGUUGCUUCUUGGAUGUAUUGUCAAGAAUAGAUUCACUCUUAUAGAAGAAUAUCUUUAGUUAUAAAACAAAAAUGUCCUGUUCUACAAGUUUUUAUAACCUGAAUAUUUUGUGUGUGUAUAUUUGAUGUGUAUAUUGAUGAAAUAAAGGUAUUUGGCAAAUG
This is a long non-coding RNA of Branchiostoma floridae (Florida lancelet), 430 nucleotides long. RefSeq lists it as uncharacterized. The transcript has 2 exons. Lineage: Eukaryota; Metazoa; Chordata; Leptocardii; Amphioxiformes; Branchiostomatidae. The record is from RefSeq and is a predicted model, not a curated record.